RNAcentral lists this ribosomal RNA (381 nucleotides) under uncultured marine Chaetocerotaceae. RNAcentral describes it as "SSU rRNA". It matches the Rfam family "Eukaryotic small subunit ribosomal RNA", at positions 587 to 972 of the family's 1831-position model. The record is from RNAcentral. Lineage: Eukaryota; Bacillariophyta; Thalassiosirophyceae; Chaetocerotales; Chaetocerotaceae.
AGCUCCAAUAGCGUAUAUUAAAGUUGCUGCAGUUAAAAAGCUCGUAGUUGCAUUUCCGAGGCAAGGGAUUAGUCCGACCUUUGGUGGGUAUUUAAUCCUCUUGCCUCGUCCUUGAGUGGUGCUUCUUGGUAUUAAGUUAUCGAGGAGAUAGCCGCUCAUCGUUUACUGUGAGAAAAUUAGAGUGUUCAAAGCAGGCUUAUGCCGUUGAAUAUAUUAGCAUGGAAUAAUAAGAUAGGACCUCGGUACUAUUUUGUUGGUUUUAGAACCAAGGUAAUGAUGAAUAGGGACAGUUGGGGGUAUUCGUAUUCAGUUGUCAGAGGUGAAAUUCUUAGAUUUACUGAAGACGAACUACUGCGAAAGCAUUUACCAAGGAUGUUUUCA